Molecule: ribosomal RNA, 305 nt
Filed under: uncultured bacterium
Lineage: Bacteria
Description: bacterial SSU rRNA
Rfam family: Bacterial small subunit ribosomal RNA
Source: RNAcentral
CGUCGCCUACGGGGGGCAGCAGUGAGGAAUAUUGGUCAAUGGUCGGGAGACUGAACCAGCCACGCCGCGUGAGGGAGGAAGGUACAGAGUAUCGUAAACCUCUUUUGUCAGGGAACAAAGGCGGGGACGUGUCCCCGGAUGAGUGUACCUGAAGAAAAAGCAUCGGCUAACUCCGUGCCAGCAGCCGCGGUAAUACGGAGGAUGCGAGCGUUAUCCGGAUUUAUUGGGUUUAAAGGGUGCGUAGGCGGACUGGAAAGUCAGCGGUAAAAUCGAGAGGCUCAACCUCUUUCCGCCGUUGAAACUGU